AGCUCACCUUCAAAAGCCCACUCCAACAAGAGGAAGAAGAUGAGGAAGACGAUCACCACCUUUGUCUUCUUCUUCUUCUACUUCUUCUCCUUCCUCUCCUCAUCUUUCUUCUUCUCUUUCUCUUGCUCCUAGAGAGAGAGAGAGCAAUAUGAGUGUGGGAGAGGGAGAGAAAUAAGGGAAUAAGAGAGAGAGAGAGGUCCCCAAGCCUUUAUAAAGGCUAAUUUGCAAUCAGCCCCCUCAACUUUCCAAUUUCUGAAAAAGCCCUUGCUGGGCACUUUUCGCAUACGGGGACCGGUCCCCUCGAGGGGAGAGACCGGUCCCCGAGAGCUGCCCAAAAUCUGCGCGUACGGAAACCGGUCCCCACACUGAGGGACCGGUCCCCGAGAGCUUUCUCUGAAAACUGGGCUACGGGGACCGGUCCUCACCCUGAGGGACCGGUCCCCGAGAGCAUGAAAUCUGCUUCUCAAGCAGAUUUCACUCCAAGCUCUCGCAGGUCCGUCCUUAAUGCACUUGUGAUGUUUUUGAUGUUCUCGGACUUUCCGAAGCACACCAACU
RNAcentral lists this long non-coding RNA (555 nucleotides) under Ananas comosus (pineapple). Its description in RNAcentral is "long non-coding RNA (ACOM_LNC041158)". The record is from RNAcentral. Lineage: Eukaryota; Viridiplantae; Streptophyta; Magnoliopsida; Poales; Bromeliaceae.